This 131-nucleotide ribosomal RNA is filed under the name uncultured bacterium. Its description in RNAcentral is "partial 16S ribosomal RNA". It matches the Rfam family "Bacterial small subunit ribosomal RNA", at positions 356 to 504 of the family's 1533-position model. The record is from RNAcentral.
GGGGAAUAUUGCACAAUGGGGGAAACCCUGAUGCAGCGACGCCGCGUGAGCGAAGAAGUAUUUCGGUAUGUAAAGCUCUAUCAGCAGGAAAGAAAAUGACGGUACCUGACUAAGAAGCCCCGGCUAACUAC